GGAAACUUUGUCCACUCCCUCACAUUAGGAAGCACAGAAAGAGAGUGGGGAAAAAAUUUUGGUUAGGGGCACUGCUGGAUGAGAUGCAACAGGCUCAAUAAGAAGACAGAAAGAAACAAACAACUCGUUUCCGCUUUGCGAGCAGAUCCGCAUGGCCAGAAGGCUCCCUGUAGGGUUGGAGACCCGGCACCAGCAGUGACCAGGAGCUCCAAGAUGAGGGUUGUGUCCAAGCAACUGUUCCAAACAGCCAUUUGUGGGCUUUUCCUCCGUGAACUUAUCUCAAGGAAACCACCCACCUUCCUGGUCUCCAUGGCACCUAGCAGCAAGGGAUCCCCCAUCUCAGCCCCGUGUUCUCCAGAGAUCUCUGGUUCCCCAAACACCAAGAGUCGAGUCUGAGACAGGCUGUCAGCUUUGUUCUGCCAUCACGAACAGCUAUGGCUCACCCUGAUGGUGCCACAAACAACCAAGAGUCUGCCCAGAAUUUCAGGACCCUGCCUUAACUCUGAAAUUCUCAUCUCUCAGCCAGAGAGAGAUCCAGACCUCCUACGGAGAUGAAUAUGCCGCCCGAUGUGUCACGGAUGCUUUGGAAACCGCUUGUGGAUUGCAGGCACUUGCUGCUUAUAAAUGUUGUGCCACUUUUCUCUGCAUACUACUGAUGGGGGUGACAAAAAAAAUUAAUACAACCCUAACAUUUUAAGAGAAGGCUGCUAAAUUCCCUCUGAUCAGAUGUAGUGAUUCUGCUUACCAGGUCAGGGGAUAUAAAUUAAAUUUUCUUCAUUUC
Molecule: long non-coding RNA, 781 nt
Filed under: Cyanistes caeruleus (blue tit)
Lineage: Eukaryota; Metazoa; Chordata; Aves; Passeriformes; Paridae
Description: lncRNA (ENSCCEG00000000904.1)
Source: RNAcentral